AUAGAAAUUUCCAGAGGUCCGGACAACAGGCCCUCCGAUUUGACACACUGAACUCUGUCUGCGAAGUAGUUGGUGAACCAGGCGAGGCAGUCAUUAGAGAAACCAAGGCUAUUGAGUCUGCCGAUAAGAUACGGUGAUUGACAGAGUUGAAAGCCUUGGCCAGGUCGAUGAAGACGGCUGCACAGUACUGUCUUUUAUCGUGGUUGGGGUAGCCAGGAGGAAGGCAUGGCCAGCCGUUGAGAAAUGCUUGUUGAAAUUUUCGAUUAUCAUGGAUUUAUCGGUGGUGACCGUGUUACCUAGCCUCAGUGCAGUGGGCAGCUGGGAGGAGGUGCUCUUGUUCUCCAUGUACUUCACAGUGUCCCAGAACUUUUUGGAGUUGG
This is a long non-coding RNA of Oncorhynchus tshawytscha (Chinook salmon), 380 nucleotides long. The record is from Ensembl. Lineage: Eukaryota; Metazoa; Chordata; Actinopteri; Salmoniformes; Salmonidae.